GAAGCCUAAGGCUAGAAGUAGGGGAGUAACAGGAAGUACAGUCUUGCAAAAAGAAAGCCUGGAAGUCUACAGAAGGUGUCAUGCGGGGCCUCUUCUGACAGCUGGUACAUGUGGGUUUGGAAAAAGAUGCCCAGCAUUGGAGGAGCCACUAACAGAGCCUGAACAACUGCCGAAACCGUAUGAGCUGGAGCAUGGAGGGAGGAAGGGCAAGGCUUUUUGUUAGACAACAGGCAGCGCUGUAUGAAGAUUGAUACGGAAGUGCUGGGCUCGGCUGGCUGGAUCAUCAAAUGGAUUGAUAUGAUACUCUGCCGGUGGAUGAAGACAAAGUAAGUGUUAUCAUACUCAAUACCGGGGCUUGUCAGGGGCGGAAAAUCACGCCAUGUCCCUGAUUAUAGGAGCGUUUCAUGACUGUCAUGCGAAUUUAGUAGCACGAUGUCACCGGCAGGCUGCUGGGCCCCAAACUCUUUAU
RNAcentral lists this long non-coding RNA (469 nucleotides) under Chinchilla lanigera (long-tailed chinchilla). RNAcentral's name for it is "lncRNA (ENSCLAG00000027007.1)". The record is from RNAcentral. Lineage: Eukaryota; Metazoa; Chordata; Mammalia; Rodentia; Chinchillidae.